AGUGAACGCUGGCGGUAGGCCUAACACAUGCAAGUCGAACGGCAGCACAGUAAGAGCCUGCUCUUACGGGUGGCGAGUGGCGGACGGGUGAGGAAUACAUCGGAAUCUACUUUUUCGUGGGGGAUAACGUAGGUAAACUUACGCUAAUACCUCAUACGACCUACGGGUGAAAGCAGGGGAUCUUCGGACCUUGCGCGAUUGAAUGAGCCGAUCUCGGAUUAGCUAGUUGGCGGGGUAAAGGCCCACCAAGGCGACGAUCCGUAGCUGGUCUGAGAGGGUGAUCAGCCACACUGGAACUGAGACACGGUCCAGACUCCUACGGAAGGCAGCAGUGGGGAAUAUUGGACAAUGGGCGCAAGCCUGAUCCAGCCAGACCGCGUGGGUGAAGAAGGCCUUCGGGUUGUAAAGCCCUUUUGUUGGGAAAGAAAAGCAGCAGGUUAAUACCCCGCUGUUCUGACGGUACCCAAAGAAUAAGCACCGGCUAACUUCGU
Molecule: ribosomal RNA, 491 nt
Filed under: uncultured bacterium
Lineage: Bacteria
Description: partial 16S ribosomal RNA
Rfam family: Bacterial small subunit ribosomal RNA
Source: RNAcentral